GACGAACGCUGGCGGCGUGCUUAACACAUGCAAGUCGAGCGGAAAGGCCUCUUCGGGGGUACUCGAGCGGACGAACGGGUGAGUAACACGUGAGUAAUCUGCCCUUCACUUUGGGAUAGCUCCCGGAAACGGGGAUUAAUACCGGAUAUGACCACAGUCCGCAUGGUCUUGUGGUGGAAAGUUUUUUCGGUGGGGGAUGUGCUCGCGGCCUAUCAGCUUGUUGGUGGGGUAAUGGCCUACCAGGCUUCGACGGGUAGCCGGCCUGAGAGGGUGACCGGCCACACUGGGACUGAGACACGGCCCAGACUCCUAGGGAGGCAGCAGUGGGGAAUAUUGACAAUGGGCGCAAGCCUGAUCCAGCGAUGCCGCGUGUGUGAAGAA
RNAcentral lists this ribosomal RNA (381 nucleotides) under uncultured bacterium. Its description in RNAcentral is "bacterial SSU rRNA". It matches the Rfam family "Bacterial small subunit ribosomal RNA", at positions 28 to 412 of the family's 1533-position model. The record is from RNAcentral.